Schistocerca nitens (vagrant locust) is the source of this 78-nucleotide non-coding RNA. The record is from the annotation of a RefSeq genome assembly. NCBI's taxonomy places the organism in Eukaryota, Metazoa, Arthropoda, Insecta, Orthoptera, Acrididae.
GCCCAGAUGGUGCAGUGGUUAACACAACUGCCUAGUAAGCUGGAGAUCCUGGGUUCGAGUCCCAGUCUGGCAAAUGCU